Molecule: ribosomal RNA, 433 nt
Filed under: uncultured bacterium
Lineage: Bacteria
Description: partial 16S ribosomal RNA
Rfam family: Bacterial small subunit ribosomal RNA
Source: RNAcentral
AGCGAACGCUGGCGGCAGGCCUAACACAUGCGAGUCGAACGGAUCCUUCGGGAUUAGUGGCGGACGGGUGAGUAACACGUGGGAACGUGCCCUUUGGUUCGGAACAACUCAGGGAAACUUGAGCUAAUACCGGAUGUGCCCUUCGGGGGAAAGAUUUAUCGCCAUUGGAGCGGCCCGCGUCUGAUUAGCUAGUUGGUGAGGUAACGGCCCACCAAGGCGACGAUCAGUAGCUGGUCUGAGAGGAUGAUCAGCCACACUGGGACUGAGACACGGCCCAGACUCCUACGGGAGGCAGCAGUGGGGAAUCUUGCGCAAUGGGCGAAAGCCUGACGCAGCCAUGCCGCGUGAAUGAUGAAGGUCUUAGGAUUGUAAAAUUCUUUCAGCGGGGACGAUAAUGACGGUACCCGCAGAGGAAGCUCCGGCUAACUUCGUG